CUUGCUGAAGUUGCUAAGCUUGGAUGUUGUUUUGUUCAUCUAUGUUAAAAAUCCUGAAAAAUAAUGGGAAAGUUUAUAAGUGCAUACUGCUUUUAAACGCAUAUAACCAUUAAUCCGACUCUAAAAGUGUUUCCCUUGCAAUCAGAGGAGCAGAAUCAACUGCUUCGCGCACAGAAUACAUUAAAAUCGCGUGCGAACUCUUUGAUUUUCCGGGAUAAAAAGCAGCCUAUGUGCUGAUCGAGGAUAUUAUCUAUAUCUUCAAAUUUUCAAAAACUUCAAGAUUUGAAAAGAAAACAGUAGAGAGCUACUCAGCAACGCUGUCGACUGAAGAAAAAAACGAUGAUACCCUUAGGCCUUAAUACAGACCGCCUUAACACGGACCGCGUGAAUAUGUCCUUGGUUAGAAAAUUACAAAGAAGACUGGUUAAUCAAAGGAAUCUAUAUGCUGAAAAGAUACGUGAAUCACAGAUUGCUGCUCAAGAAGAAGACAAAACAAAUUAACAUUAUUCAAGAUGAAAACGAAAUGACUCAUUUGUCCAAGUAACAGUUUCAUAGAACAAAACCUACCUCACGUUGCAGAAGAAAACAAAGAUAUAGUUAAAAAGCAACUUUUAACACACUAUGCUUUAGUGAAUGCUAUUCAAUACACAUAUGAGAACACCAAAAAACGGUGAACGAAAUAUUCUAUUUAGAAUCAUUAGAAAAUACGAAACAUACAAAUGCAGCCGACACCAAAAAGAAACCUCAGGUUAAGCGAUGCUUAUUUUGUGCCAGAAGAGGCCACAGUAUAAAGUGUGUCGUAAACGCCUCGCUCAAAUACCGGAAACCAAACAAGUGAGCCCUACAACAACUAAGGAACCGAGCACAAUGAAACCAGAACCAACGAAAUCCACCAUUAGCUGUUGUGGUUGCGGUUCGCCAGGGAUGUUCUGAAGCAAUUGUGGAAAGUGCAAAGGAAAUGAAUCACUCCCAAAGCCGGUAUCGUUCUUUACCUUCGAAGCCAAUAUCGAAGACAGUGUCAAGAUACCAACAAUAGAAAUCUCUGUUUACGGACAGCAAGGAUAUGCUUUCACCGACACCGCGGCAAGAACGAGCAUUGCCAGUGAACACCUUUACGAAAUAUUGUUCGAAAAAGGCGCCAACUUCCGCAAGCAAGUCUGCCCAAUAAUGCAUACUGUUUUCUAUGGUCCGAACUGAACGGUAAAAAAGGUAGCUGCGAAAUUGGAACAAUUUUAUUACAUUACUUAACUAAAUGUAUUCCAGCAAAUGUAACUGAAAUAAGCCUUUUUUCUGAUACUUGCUCAGGUCAAAAUAGGAAUCAAUAUGUGGCAGCAAUUCUUUUGUGGGCUGUUCAGAAUAUUAAUAGGCUAAUAAUACAUGAACCAAAUAAAACUCGAAAGAAUGCUGAAAGUACAAAUAGUCAAAGUUCUAGGAAGAGAGAAUUAGAGUCUACCCCUCCGAGUCAAAUGAGCAAUCCUUAUGAUCAAGUAAAUCAACCUUCAUCAAAUUAUCAAAUGGCAAAGAAAAAUAAACAUAAGAGGAAUAUCCAGAAUAAGGGGCAAAGCCCCAUGAAUAGUUUUGUACAAAAACCAUCAGCACUAAAAAUAUUUACUGCAGUCACACUCGAUGAGGAAUGCGAUGAAUAGUAAUUACCACAGCCCCUCCAUCCAGUACAAACCCUGCUGCCCACUCAGCACAAUUCACAUAACAAGCAAUAAGAAGAAAAACUUUUGAGAAAAAUAGUCUCCCAACCCGGCUGGUGACCGUCGGAGAGCUAGACCAAGUACCCUCCAGUCAUAAGAGUUUUUAGAUUGGAUAAUACAAGUAUGAAUUAUAAUAAAAUACCUACAUAACAAAAAAAAAUAAGUCGAUCGUAAAAAGAAACAUAACAAAGAGUAUAUACUAAAAAUUUCCUAUUCC
Maniola jurtina (meadow brown) is the source of this 1920-nucleotide long non-coding RNA. RefSeq lists it as uncharacterized. The transcript is spliced from 2 exons. NCBI's taxonomy places the organism in Eukaryota, Metazoa, Arthropoda, Insecta, Lepidoptera, Nymphalidae. The record is from RefSeq and is a predicted model, not a curated record.